Molecule: ribosomal RNA, 155 nt
Organism: Nomascus leucogenys (northern white-cheeked gibbon)
Lineage: Eukaryota; Metazoa; Chordata; Mammalia; Primates; Hylobatidae
Rfam family: 5.8S ribosomal RNA
About the family: 5.8S ribosomal RNA (5.8S rRNA) is a component of the large subunit of the eukaryotic ribosome.
Source: Ensembl
GACUCUUAGCGGUGGAUCACUUGGCUCAUGUGUUGAUGAAGAGCGCACCUAAAUGCAAGAAUUAAUGUGAAUUGCAGGACACAUUGAUCAUCCACACUUCGAAUGCACUUGCAGCCCCAGGUUCCUCCUGGGGGGCUACACCUGUCUCAGUGUAG